UAAGGAAUAUUGGUCAAUGGACGCAAGUCUGAACCAGCCAUGCCGCGUGAAGGAUGAAGGUCCUCUGGAUUGUAAACUUCUUUUAUCUGGGACGAAAACGGGAUUUUUAUCUCAAUUGACGGUACCAGAGGAAUAAGCACCGGCUAACCCCGUGCCAGCAGCCGCGGUAAUACGGAGGGUGCGAGCGUUAUCCGGAUUUACUGGGUUUAAAGGGUGCGUAGGUGGGCUUAUAAGUCAGUGGUGAAAUCUCCGAGCUUAACUUGAAAACUGCCGUUGAUACUAUAGGUCUUGAAUUAUCUGGAGGUAAGCGGAAUAUGUCAUGUAGCGGUGAAAUGCUUAGAUAUGACAUAGAACACCAAUUGCGAAGGCAGCUUACUACAUAUAAAUUGACGCUGAGGCACGAAAGCGUGGGGAUCAAACA
This 421-nucleotide ribosomal RNA is filed under the name uncultured bacterium. Its description in RNAcentral is "bacterial SSU rRNA". It matches the Rfam family "Bacterial small subunit ribosomal RNA", at positions 355 to 774 of the family's 1533-position model. The record is from RNAcentral.